Molecule: long non-coding RNA, 30108 nt
Filed under: Phoenix dactylifera (date palm)
Lineage: Eukaryota; Viridiplantae; Streptophyta; Magnoliopsida; Arecales; Arecaceae
Description: long non-coding RNA (PDAC_LNC001552)
Source: RNAcentral
ACUAAAGUGAUAGUUGAAGAACUGCAUCCCUUUGUGAAUUGGCUUUCUUGAAAAUGAUAAAUGUACUCCCAUGUUGACUGAAAAAGGACCAAUGAGAGCUUGUACAGGUGGAAAUCAGUCAGAUAUCCCAAAAUAGAAGCUUAAGUGGCAUUUAUUCAGCAUAUGGAUGCGAACUUGACCUUUUGUGGCAUUAAGUUUAUAUCAAGGUUGUUCUCUAUUACAUGUUCCAGUUGUGCGUGAAGUAUGUUCACAAAUGCAUUUUGAGCUCAUUUUGGUCAAAUCCAAACUAGGUGGGUCUAUUUGUUCUUUGUAUUAAUUGGCUACCAAUGCUGCCAUAUAGAUACCCUGCUUAAGCAAAAAUUAGGGUGGUGGGGUCCAUACAAAACAACUAGAAAGCACGAAGAAAGACUGAUUUUUGAACCCCUCACCAAGACAGAAGCCAGAAAAGGUGGAGUUCCAUGAGCACCAUGUUUAUUGGCUCUUGAUGGGGAGUCAUCAAGUAAUACGGCACAGUCCUGAAGGGUCUGGUAUCACUCUGAGGCCUCUGAGGCAGAGGGCCCUUAGCGAAAUUUCUCAUUUCGUUCCUUGCUUGCCAUAAGGAACUAGAAUGAGGAACCUGCACCUACUCAUUCAUGCACGAAAACUCUAAUCUUGAAGUUAACCUAACUAUUGCCUUGUUUUCCUCUAGUCAUCCCCACACAUGUAGAAUUAAUAGGUUUAUCACUUCCAUAUAGGCAUCAUAGUCACUUCACCUGCUUUGAUAAGAAUUAUAGUUUUUUGGGAUCCAAAUCUGAUAUGCAAGUCUAGGUUUCAAGUUUGGCUAAGGUCUUAUUCAAGCUAUGAAUUUUAUUUGGGCCCAAGCAUGGGCAUGUAAGAGACAGGAAGGGAGGGGGGAGACAGGGUUGGGAGUUCUUAAUGGUCAAUAAUUAUAGAAUGAAAUAAAAUUAGUUCUUAUUGUUAGGUUUUAUGUUUGUGACUGUUGUUGCUUACAAGAUACAUUACCUGUUUAUAUAAUUAUAUAGGUACUGACCAACUCCAAAGUUCAUGGAUUCUUGAUGCUUCUUGCUGUUUUACUAGUUUCACAAAUUGUAAUGGGCUGAAUUGGUAGAAUGACUAUGAGGAUAUGGGCGGGCGUGUUUUUAGUCAUACAUCGGCUAUGCAUUGGAUAGAUCUUGGGUAUGUAUACAGAGUUAAGGAAUUCAAAUAACAUCUUCCAUCUAGCCUUUUUAGGCGAGGUUCUAGAUUGUUACAAAUGGUAUUAGAGUGGAUCUAAUCCAUGGCCUAUAUGAAAUAGGGGACACUACAACACAGGUCCGUUUGGGACUGAUCAUGGGCCAAUCACGGUGUUUGUGAUUCGUUUUGAUUGGAUCUAGAUUCUUAGCUUAGCAAAGAUGCCACGGCUUAAACCAAGGGGGGUGAGGACCCAUGCAGACAUGUGUUUAGAUUCAGAUCGGGUAUGCACUGGAUAGAUCUUGGGUACUUAUACAGAGCCAGAAAAUCUAAAUAAUACUUUUUGACUAACCUUUUUGGAUAAGGUCCCGGAUUGUUACAACAACUCUUAUGAGAGUUAACAUAAAAGAAUGACCCUCAUAAGAAAUGACAUGCAACUUAGUUUUCAUCCACUUGAAUAGGUGAUGUAUUACGUCAUCCUUUAUGUUAUAUUUUUAGGUCUCAUUUUGUUUUAAUUACUAAAUGGAAUAUUUUCUUGACUGGUACCAUAUCCAUGAGGAAAGGGAAUAUGAUAGUAUAAUAAAUGCUAUUGCUUCCUCAUAUUGUGCCUCCUAUGUUUGAUAUUGUGUUCCCUUGUUUUUUAUUGAUAUUUAUGUUCUAUAGCUUACUGAUAGACUGACUAUCAAUUAGUGCAAAUAGUUUAGAUACAAAAUAUCGGGGCUAGCAACUCAGUCAUGGAAAUAUUUAAAAUAUCUUGUUUUAUCUCUUGCUUGUUUAUGUUUAUUUCUUGUUAUGCUAAUUAUGUUGACCCUUGAUGUUUGGUUUUGCUGAGGUCAGGUCAGGACAGAGUUUUUGUCAGCAGAUGAUAAUGUCAUGGCUAGUUCAAGCCAGCCAUGCAUGCUACGAUUCAAGAGCUCGCACAUUCGCUUGACAGAGACUUUUCUCAAAAGUGGUACUCUACUAGCAGGCUAUUCUUCUGAAUCACAGUUUCUCAGAUUAAAAAUGACAGGCUUCACAGAAGGAACUGAACCUACUGUAUGCAUAAGAGUCGUUCUUGAACAAAGGGCAGAGUUNNNNNNNNNNNNNNNNNNNNNNNNNNNNNNNNNNNNNNNNNNNNNNNNNNNNNNNNNNNNNNNNNNNNNNNNNNNNNNNNNNNNNNNNNNNNNNNNNNNNNNNNNNNNNNNNNNNNNNNNNNNNNNNNNNNNNNNNNNNNNNNNNNNNNNNNNNNNNNNNNNNNNNNNNNNNNNNNNNNNNNNNNNNNNNNNNNNNNNNNNNNNNNNNNNNNNNNNNNNNNNNNNNNNNNNNNNNNNNNNNNNNNNNNNNNNNNNNNNNNNNNNNNNNNNNNNNNNNNNNNNNNNNNNNNNNNNNNNNNNNNNNNNNNNNNNNNNNNNNNNNNNNNNNNNNNNNNNNNNNNNNNNNNNNNNNNNNNNNNNNNNNNNNNNNNNNNNNNNNNNNNNNNNNNNNNNNNNNNNNNNNNNNNNNNNNNNNNNNNNNNNNNNNNNNNNNNNNNNNNNNNNNNNNNNNNNNNNNNNNNNNNNNNNNNNNNNNNNNNNNNNNNNNNNNNNNNNNNNNNNNNNNNNNNNNNNNNNNNNNNNNNNNNNNNNNNNNNNNNNNNNNNNNNNNNNNNNNNNNNNNNNNNNNNNNNNNNNNNNNNNNNNNNNNNNNNNNNNNNNNNNNNNNNNNNNNNNNNNNNNNNNNNNNNNNNNNNNNNNNNNNNNNNNNNNNNNNNNNNNNNNNNNNNNNNNNNNNNNNNNNNNNNNNNNNNNNNNNNNNNNNNNNNNNNNNNNNNNNNNNNNNNNNNNNNNNNNNNNNNNNNNNNNNNNNNNNNNNNNNNNNNNNNNNNNNNNNNNNNNNNNNNNNNNNNNNNNNNNNNNNNNNNNNNNNNNNNNNNNNNNNNNNNNNNNNNNNNNNNNNNNNNNNNNNNNNNNNNNNNNNNNNNNNNNNNNNNNNNNNNNNNNNNNNNNNNNNNNNNNNNNNNNNNNNNNNNNNNNNNNNNNNNNNNNNNNNNNNNNNNNNNNNNNNNNNNNNNNNNNNNNNNNNNNNNNNNNNNNNNNNNNNNNNNNNNNNNNNNNNNNNNNNNNNNNNNNNNNNNNNNNNNNNNNNNNNNNNNNNNNNNNNNNNNNNNNNNNNNNNNNNNNNNNNNNNNNNNNNNNNNNNNNNNNNNNNNNNNNNNNNNNNNNNNNNNNNNNNNNNNNNNNNNNNNNNNNNNNNNNNNNNNNNNNNNNNNNNNNNNNNNNNNNNNNNNGCAGGAGGACGCUGUAUAUCUGGAUCAGUAUGGGGUUAUUCAUCAUGGAGUUACUGGUUUUUCUUGUCUGCUGUAGACCUAUUAUAGUUCCAAGGUCAAGGCCUGUUGGUGGUUCUCAAAGCAGGAUGUAGGAUGCGAACUUUUAAAAACAUGGUUGCAAAAGAGGAGAACAGGUCUUCUGCAAGCACCAUUUCCCCAUUUUGCCGCUGUCUGAAAUAAGAUACCAUCUUCAGGUGCCUUGGGGUAGUAAUCAUGAUUUGAACACUCACAUCAGUUAUGUCAUGCAUACUUCUGUAGUCUACUGAGGGCAAAAACUAUCGAUGCUGCUCAGUUUCAAAGAUGUCAUAUUCAGCUAUAAAACUUGGAAAUUGAGAUAGUUUCAAUUUGGAAGUUGGUAGCUCUUUUAAAAAUUAAGAAUGGGGGAACUAACUGUCAUAUCACAACUACUGUUACACUAUUUGCGAGGGAUAAACAUGUAAUGAGUGCCUAUACGAGAGAUGAGUAGCCUAUUGGCAGAGCAGAUGUGGACAUGUAGCUUUUGGAGCACGAAAGCUGGAGUUCCUAAGAGGUUAGGUUUUGGGGUAUAGAAGAAUUAGUAUGAGAAAAAAAAUGUCAAGUGAUAUAGACUGAAUGGUUCUUAACCUUUAUCAUUAUUUUUUAUUAGCAUGAAGCGAGAACUGCAAGGUCUGAGGCUGGGUUAAGAGUUGGUCCAACAUGUUGGGCAGAAAAAUUAUCAGAGUUGACUAUUUUAACUUCUACCAGUAAACAAAUUUAUUGAUGCGGAAUAGAGGUGAUAGUGCUAGGUACAUGUGUUGCCUGUAGUUGGUUCAAGAGGAAGAAGCAUGCGAUUGAUGGUCGUGAUCUCAUCAAUCAUGAUUGUUCGGCGUAGAUUUGAUAAUUUUGUUCUCGUUUUUUAGUUUCUGUAAUUCUUUCUCUUUCUUUUAGAGACGAUAUUACGGAUGCCUUGGCUAAUAAGGAGUGUUUUUGUGGAAGAAAAGUGAGGUGCAUGGCUUGGCGAGCAAACUUCAUGGCUGGGUGCUUUAUAUGUGGUAUAAAUGAUUCUGUGAUGUAAAUUACUUCCAGCAGUCUGCAUCUGUAAGUAGCGGCAUGAGAAUAGUUUGUGUUAAUUACAUUCUUUUGCUGUGUAAUAUCCUCUUGGUGUGAAAAUAUUUAUUCUUUUACUGUAGACAUGCUCCUACCAUGUCUCAUUCAACUUAAGUUGUCCAAGCUUGUAUAUGUAUGUGUGUGUGUGUGUGUAUAUAUAUAUCAUGCUUCUUCGGCAACUUCAGAGCUGGCUUUUUCCAUAAAAUGAGCAAGUUGGGAACAGAAGAUUCUUUUCUGCUUUGCCAUUUGUAAUACCUACUUUUCAGGGCACAGGUGGAUUUUCCAGAGACUGGUGAGGCUGCAUGAAACUCGGAGGCCACGUUAUGUGGUUAAAUCAGUGCUUUUGCAAGUCAAGUGGUUUCACAAAGUUAUGCAGCAAAGAAUUGAACUAAUUUGUGAUGGAAACACACAUGUUCCAUCAAGGUGCUCUUUCACUGUAGCUACUUGGUUGUUUUCUCUUGUUAAUGAGCUUAGCAUCUUGUGUGUCUCCUUUUAUUAUAGGGAAAAUGGUCAUUGCAUGGAUUAUUCAUUUAUUGUCUUGCCUGUAGCAUAAGGAAAUUGUUUUAUACUUUUAAUUUAAUUAAGGUUUCUUUACUCCCACAGACUUAAUCUCAGGUGAUGCAUAUUUUGAUGUGACAAUUGGUGAAAUUAUGGUGAUUAGGUAUUGGUGAAGGAUUUUGAUCUUGAAUGGAGAGGUUGUUAUUGGAGAUGGAAUUGAUGAUUUAAUGGAAAUAGAGAGUAUGCGGCUCAGAGGAUUGAACUCAUUACUUGAGCACAAUUGGUAACAACCAUGUAAUGGAACAUUCUUAUAUGUCUGGUCAAAUGCAUCUCAGAUUGGGCUGGUAGCGAUAUCUUUAAGGAAUGCUAUCCCUAGGUUGGCACACGAUUCUUGAAAGCUAAAUACUUCGCUCGGUGUCACACCCCAAGCUUAGAGCGCACUCCAAACUCGGAGUAUAACAGAUGCUGCAUACUUGCAGGACGGGCUAUGCGAGCAUGCAAGACUACAAAUCAAGUCAUAAUAAUCACAAAGUAAUAAUAAUGAUUGUUCGAUCCUCGAAAACUGAUUUAAUCAAGAUUUAAGCAAAAUCAUUCUCAUAAUUAAUUAUUCCAAAGUGACAUAAGCCAAAAUAUGUUAUCAAAUCAAAUGAUUUGUUCUAACUAAACUAGACCAAACUAGAACUUCAAUAACUGUGAAUAUCUUCAAAAGAUUUAGCGUACUCCCUCAAGUCCCAAGCAAUCAUGAUUCAAAAUCUGAAAAAAUAGAAAAAGAAUAAUGAACUACUCUAGCCUAGUAAACAACAUAACACCAAAAAAGUGGGAUAAACAUGCUAAAUAAAUAUAUAAUUAAGAGCAUGAUACUAAUCGAAAAUAAAUCAAUUUUCAAAUAAUACAUAUGUCUCUUUUGAAAUUUACUAUUAUUUUUCAUAAAUUGAUAUAAAAAAUACAACAUCAAGUUAUGGCCAUGUAACCCAAUGGCAUGGGUCAAAUACAGAAUGCAUAAAGUGCCAAAUACCACUAUUCUAAUCACUGGUGGCUCGGUGUCUAAAUAACACUAUUCUAAUCACUGAUGAUUCGGUGUCGAAAUCAAUUUCUUAGAUUACAAGUCAACAUGGCCAAUGAAUAAUCCCAUUGGUGGGGCCAGAUCAUAGCCGUGCUGAGAAUACAUCCAUAUAAAACAAAUUUCAUAAUUUGUCCAAUUAUAUUUUUCAAAUUUUAUAACGUAACAUAUAAUAUAAUUUAAAAUAAUUACUAUCGUAACAAUAACAUGCUUAACCAGUUUAACCAAGUAUUUAUCAUUUUACCAAAAAUUCGAAAAACACACAUUGAAGCAUUGGGUUACUUCUUUUCGCUUCAAAAAUCCCACUUCAGUUAGAUGGGUCAGAUUUACCUAUUUUAAUAUUAUUAAAAUACUAUAAAUUUUAUCAUUAUCUUAGAAGCUAAAUAAAGUUAAAAAUAAGGAUACUAUUGGGGAUACGACCUUAUGCCCAAAUCAAGAUGGAUAAAAGGCAAUGUCAAUCAGGCAGUGGUAUCCGACUGCAUGGGCGGUCUAAACAAGGUGAACUGAAACAGUCAAAAUCAGAUAUGAUUUAAGUGACUCAAUGAAGAUAAAUGGUAACCAUAUUCUAGGGAUACCUGACAGGGUUGAGGUACUGAAACGAUAAUACUGCCUAGGUAUCGGGAUGAACCAACUGGGACCUGAACAACGGAAAGACAGGGCUUCAUGCUCGAUAAGGAUGAAGAAGGAUAAAGCUAAUUGAGCGGUAAGGUCCAACAAUCCGAUCGGUCUGGUCAAGUUUAUUCUAUCCAAUCAAAUAUCAAAUCAAAUACAUGUAACUUAUAGUGAUCGAGGAUGACCAGAUCUAGUAAAAUCCAACAACGACCAGGAUGCUAGUAAAAGCCGGAUAAAAGUCAACAUGUUGAAGGGUUACAUUUGAGCAUGUCUCAAACCUCUUAUUUAGGCCAAUCUGGAGUCCACAAAGUUUGAGCAUAUAUCUGCACGCAUGUCCUUUAACACAUAAUACAGGCCACAACUCACAAGCUUAAAAAUUAUCUUCCCAAGUAGCAAGAAGGCUCUUUAUUCAUCUACUCCGUCACUAGGUCCAUGCACGUAGUCAUUUACUGCCUUCUUUUCAUCCAUGCAGGCUUUUGGAUUUUGGUACACUGAAAAGCUUUCACUCCUUGCCAUUACCAUUAUGGUGGCAUACCAACUCCAUCAACAGAAGGAAACCGUACGAUUAUAGUAUACCAACCCCCAAGCAUCCAAAUGAUGGGCCUUGUCGCCAAUUAGCAAGCUAUGAAGUGCAAGAUAAAGGGAAUUAAUGGAGUUCUCAGGCAAAUGUUUGACAGCAAUGUCAACUCCGUAGGCACAACUAAACAAAUAAGACAGCAAUGGAAGAAAAAAAGCUUGCGAACCUGAAGGAGGAGAGUAAAAGACGUACGUGAGGUGGCCCAAGAUGGUGAAACAGCAUAUGAAUGGCACAACCACAUGGGCUAGGGUAAGAGAAUAUAUGCUUGCGGAGUUGAGGGAUGAUAAAUGAGAGGGUCCUACGGUAUCGCUUCAUGGCCAUGGGUUUCUUUAUCUCACUCUUAUGUGUAGCUAUCAUCUUAACUAUGUUGUACGCACGACAUUACCUCAAAAAAAUAUAUAAAAAAAGACAUUAGUCCUCAUGCAUGCAUUCGACGUCGGAAUUUCACAAGUAUGCACCUACCAACGGGUAGGAGCAGCAGAAUGACAGCUCAAGUGUUCGACAAAGACAAAGGAGGGGAGGAACUAGGGAGUUCAUGUUGGUUGGACCAGCUAGUCCAUCAAGGAUAUAGUGACAAUUUCUAGCUAGUAGAAUUAAAUGCUGAACUCUAUCAUACGACCUUAUGCCAACUUGUGCAAGUUGAAGUUGAAUCCUUCAACUCUGGCUAAAACUUUUAUUAUCAUUGAGGGUGCCAACUCAGAUUUAGUUAUGACUUCACCGCUGAUCUUAGCAAACAUCGACAAGGCUUGGCCAUUUUGUUUUCCAUCAUCGACAAUUGGAAAAAAACUAUCAUAUCCAUAUAUAUCUAGAAUUAUAUGGGAUGAAGUAAUAAGGAAGGAACUGAUAUCAUUACAACUUUCCAAAAAUAUGACCUAAACAGUAUGGGAUGGAGGAAGAUCAGGAUUCAUAUUGCCGAGCCAACUAAUUUGGGAUUAAGAUUUAGUUGAGUUGGAAAGUACUGCAUCGUCAUAUAAUAAAGCUCGAAGAUCAAAAAAAAAAUAAAAAAAAGCCAUGAGGAUAAGCUUGUCAAGCAAAGAUUUGCAGAACUCGAUGAUCAAAUUUAGGGUUUGGUUAGGCAGUUAGCUGACUUACCAAAGGAAUGAGUAGAUGCCAGCCCAGUGGGUUGGUGGAUGUAUUGAGAUGGGAUGCGAGAGAUGCCGCGUGGGGACAGGAAGGAGGUCACACAGUAAUUGGUGGGGUUCCUUCAACCUCCGAUAUAUAUACGGAACCGUAGUAACAUUUAGAGCCUUUAAAGACUAGGACAAUCCCAAUAAUAUAUUACAGUUCAAGACCUUGGCUAGGGAAUUUCACAAUAACAUUUUUCAACAAAGGAGCACCUACGGUGCCACUAGAUUCCUUGACGACGAAUGCAGUGACGUACGUUGUCUUAAUAGAUGCUAGGAGAAUAUACCAGGUUGAAUUGUGUUUGUAUCUUAAUUCAUGCCUCGUGAAGUUGACAGUAGUCUAGUUGUUUUACUCCCUCCUUUAAAUUAUUUAGGAGGGUUUAAAUUUGAAGCAUUUUCUCACGUAUUUAGAUUUUUGGAUGGUUCUACCAGAUGGAUCUUCUUUUUCCUUCCUUCAUUAAAUGCAAGUAAGUAAGUAGGCUCUCAUCUACGCUUAAUCUUCGUGUAGUUUUUCUUGUUGAGGGAAAUCCAAGUAGCUCCAACAAAAACUCAAGAAAUAGACCAAGCAUAGACCAUUAUAAAUCUAGGAAGGAACGAAACGGCAUGCUUUUCUCUUUCGAAAAAAAAAAAGUUCAGUUGGCAUUACAAAAACUUAAGCUAUGUUUCUAAGAUUUCUUAUGGUCAAAUUAACUUAAUAAAAGAAGGUGUUUAGUCAUAUCUUAAACAUGCAUGCAUUAUAUAUAUAUAUACUUUGCUCCUGUAGCAAAGUAAGACCUUUAAGGACUAAGAAAAAAUGGUAUAGUUCAUGAUCACGUCAUGAUGUGGAUUGGUGCCAAUGAAGAUUUUGUUUUCUUAUGACACCCAUCCAUUAUAAGUUUAUCUCCUAGAUGUGAACUGAACCAGUUCCAUGAAAUAAACUAUUGCACGUGAGAUUUUUCAUACAUAGAUUGGAAUAGCUUCCAAGAGGAGAUAAAUUAAGUGGAGACGCAAGUGAAAAGAGAUAGGAGAAGUCAUCACUGUACUUGAUCCCCAGACCUCUCAAUAAGGAGAGAAAUGCCAACUGGCUGAGAUCAGGAUGGUUGGCAAGCCAUUGCUUUUAUAUCUUAGGAUUUUAGCAACAUUAAAGAUAGCCUUUUUGGGUGGAGUAAAUAUUUUGCAUCUUUUGAAUUUGUGCAACCAAUAGUUUUGUUGAUCUUCUAACAGUCCCUAUGUCCCUGUAUAUGUUCACAUGCGAGAUCUCCCAUGCAUAGAUGUGAUAGCCAAGCAUCCACUGAAACCUAGCAAUCUCUAUCUGCACCGAUUUCCAAGUACGACACAUCAAUGGAUAAGCUCCAAGGUUGUAAUGCUGACUCCCGUGACACAAACAUGUUCUUCUGUGGAUGGUUUAUUUAAUUAUGUAGAACCAUCCUGCUUGCACUUAAUUAAGAAGAGGAAGUUGCUGCAACUUGUCUAUAAUUGUUGUAGAAAUAUGUUCAGAAACCGGUCUAUUUUUCAUAAUCAUUGGUUAUGAAAAAUAAGAACCCGAUCGACCAAGACAUGCGACGCCAUUGGUUCUAAGAAGUAUACUCAUUCAAAUGGAUUGCCUUCAUUGCUUUCCUAAUAUAUAUAUAUAUAUUUAACUAUUUAUAUAUAAAGAUUUAUGCUGCUGUUUUUUCUUCUUCUCUGUGUCUCUUAACUUCCAUCACCAUGCAGAUUUCAAGAUACAUGCAUACUAUUGUAUAUUAAGCAGCGUAAUAAAAAUAUGUAAACGAAACUAUUUCUAAACCCUAGAGUCCAUCAUGUACGGUGGAUUGGUUUCAUAUGGAAAUUACAUAUACAAUUGACAAUGGAUAUAAACUUCACCUAAUGUUAAUAGUAAUGAUGAUAGAAUCGGAGAGCACAAAGGUAGUAUCAAUUCCAAUUUUUAAAUUAUCACAUCAUCACCUCAAUAUCAGUCUCCUCGUAUACAUAAAUGUAGUCUUCAACUAAAUUUCUCUAAUUCCUGUAAGGGGGAUUUUAUUGUAGGGUUGGGUUGGUUGCUAACUUUAAAGGUGAUCUCAGUGGCAAUGAAAGCUUACUCAAUAGAUCGAGCACUUGUCUCUUCCCUCACCCACCACUCCUCUGUCGGCGUUGGACGUGUGCAUGGGUAGAUCUAAGUGUAACUAAAAUUACUCUCCCCACCAGCCUGGCAAAGAAAUUUAAUACAAGCUAUGGGGACAUACUUCGUACUAUGCAUGAAAUUUUGCGAAAGUGAAUAUAUUGACUAUUUUUUCGAGUAAUUCACGACAUACUUUGAUGAUUUUUUUUGUUUGAAUGAUAUGAUCGUGCAUUAUUUGAUAAAUCCAAUUGAGGUGGAACCAGUCUAGUAGUUAAGCAGCAUAAAAUGUCCAUUACUUGACUAUAGAUUUAUGUGAAGUUCUUUUUUUUGGGAUCUUAUGAAGAAUUGUGAAAGUAAUUCUUGAUAAAUUGGAUAGGAAAAAAUUCAUUGGCACAAACUUCUCAGUGAAAGAGGAAAGUUUACAAUUUUUUAACACUAGAUUUAUUUUCUGCCUUGGAAUCUAAGACAGGGUUCCCUCCUAACUCUAUUUAUUCGUGUAAUUUAAGAAUCGAGCAAUCAAAGUUACUUUAGCCCUAUGUCGGGGCGCAUUUCGACAUAUUCCAUGGUAUGUCCUCCACCUUCACACCUCCACAUUUCUUUCUUCUUUCGACUAUUCUAUGAGCCUAGGGAGCAAGAUGGAGCUGAACCUACCUCCUUACACAUGAAUAAAAAUUAUAAAACCAAGAAUCUAUGAUACCUCAUACUACUUGAUUUAAGUGGGGAGACCAGAUCAUUUUUCGAAGUUUUUAAUUUGUAACCCCCAUAUAUGACCAAGAGAUAGAGUGUAAGUGGGAAUCGAUGUUGAGCACUGAUAUGAAUUGCCAAUCAUGUGGGAUAUAAUACAAACGGACUUUGGGCACUGCAUUCAUUUGAUCAUGUCACAAAGUUGAUGGUAGAUACAUAAGAAAGUGAUCAUUUCUCAAACAUGAAACUUAAAGCCCGCCUUUCAUCCAAGUGUACCGUAUUUAUAUGAUACCAACCAAAUAUAUAGAAUAAAGCUUAAGAAAUAACUUGCUUGAAAUGUCUUGCUGAUGAAAGUCAUGUCAUUUUAGUUUUUCUAUAAAAUCUAAGAGAUAAACAAGUUGGGUUCAAUGAGAGUUCAAAAAAUUUAAAUUCAAUCCAUAUUUGAAUUAGAUCAAAUAUUUGAAUCCAAGCACAAUCUAUUUUCACACGGUGGAGUUAAAGAUUUAUUUAUUAAUCAAAUCAGAUCUUUCAGGUCAAAUCUAAUCGAGAACAACUAAACAUGUAGGUGAUGAAUUGGGGCCUGUUCUCGUGGUCACACCCCACUACUCAAAUAUUCGGAUAGAGGCAAUUAUAGCAUAGCUAGGCAUCUCUUCCCACUCUCCCUGUGUCUGUCUCUCUCAACAAAGAUAUAUAAAUCACAUCAACAACCAUCUUGCAUAAAUCUAAUGGUUAAUCAUAUAUAAAUCAUCAUCAACCAACAACAGCAAGUUGAUGGUUGACGACUAUUACUAAAUGUCAAUUAUAUUUGGAAUUCAAAAUAAUAGGAAUAGUGGAUUAAUUUAGGUUGUUGAGGAUUUUUAUUAGACGACAGAACAUUUUAUUAAAACAAAUCCAAACCGAAGCUCGAUAACUUCAAUUUGGAUCGGAUAGGGUCAAUUUCCGGUCGAAAGUGUAUCUAAUACAAGCUACAGCAAAAAUUGUCUACUCCACCAUGUUUUUAUUUAGUGUAUUUUAUAUUGUAAUUUGAAAGUAGUCCACAAAAUAUUUUCCUUUGAUUUCCUAUGUGCUGAGGCAAGAUCAGAUCUAGGGAGCCUCAUUAGUUCCAGGUCAAAUGAGAUAAGGUUUGGUGACCCAAUCAAAUGAGUCAAAUUAAAUUAAAUGAGUCCAACAAGAGCAAUUAAAAGAUUGAUUUUGACAAGACAUCAACCGGUGGCUCAAUUUCUAUGAGCCCACUGAGCUUUUUUUUGGUUUUCAGAUAACAAGUGGCUUGCUUAAUUAUGGCCUUUCUAGUCUUUUAGCUAGCUAGAAUUGGUAGGCACCCCUCUCCGAAGUUCAUGUAUUGAAAAGAGUUCGCACUGAAAAAGUGACGCUUCUAUCACAUUUCUUAAAAAGCGACAUUCAGCCAACCAUGAAAUAUAAGAAUCUAAGCUCCAAAAAAGUAUACUUCAAUAUAAGAAUCUAAACUUAAAUCCCACCUUCCCUAGGCUUUAGAAGGUUAGGUAGUAUAUCUGGUAGGGAGCAAUCCCUCGUUGUGGAAUCCAUUGCAUACGGCCAGUGCAGAAAACUUCAAGCUAAACCAUAGGCCUGCUAUAAGAAAGUAGCAGUGGUAAAAAGACAAAAAGCCGCCGUACGGAUGGCAGGUCCAUUUCCCCUUAGAACAAAAAAAUAAAACCUAUUUCUCUAGGCUGCGCAACGGAUUUAAUAAAAACCUCUUCUACCUACCGAAAUCCCCCACCUCGCAUUGCAGACUUAGAGGAGAACGGGAAACUCCUCUUGCCUCGCUUGUUAGAUAGAGAGAGAGAGCUGUCGGAAUCCAUAGACCACAGCCUUGUUCCUCUAUUGUGGAAGCAGGAUAAGAGAUAGAGAUGGAAGCCCAGGGACAAGCAAGGGUGGCGAUAAGCUCAAGGAGAUCAGCCUCGCGGUUCAGACGAGUGUGUGUGUUCUGUGGGAGUAGCCCCGGGAACAAGGCCAGCUACCAGCUCGCANNNNNNNNNNNNNNNNNNNNNNNNNNNNNNNNNNNNNNNNNNNNNNNNNNNNNNNNNNNNNNNNNNNUCUCUCUCUCUCUCUCUCUCUCUCUCUCUCUCUCUCUCUUCUUUCAAAUGGAUAUUAUCUUCCAUGGUUGAAGGGAUAGAGUUGGGUUUUUAAGGCAGAUCAGCUUGCAUAGAAGUUGGAAACUAGCUUUAUUUACCUUGUCUGUGUGAGUUGCUACCUUGUUUGCUAAUAAAUCUCUCUUUUUUUCCCUUUUUUUUCUUCUUGUUUUAUUACAAAUGGUUUCAGGUCGAGAGGAACAUAGAUUUGGUCUAUGGUGGAGGGAGUGCUGGUCUCAUGGGUCAUGUCUCACAAGCCGUUUAUAACGGUGGCUGCCAUGUCUUAGGGUCUGUCUUUUGCCUAUCUUUAUCCAUCCAACACACAUAUAUGUAUGCAUGUUUAUAAAAUAAAAAUUUUCAAAAUUAUUUCCAAAGAACUUGUGUGUUUUUGAUGUUAUAAUGCAGGGUAAUUCCCAGGACUCUAAUGCCAAGAGAGGUAUGGUAAAUAUUCUUCUCUCUCUUAUUAUUAUCUUCUUCUUCUUCUUCUUUCCUUUUUACACAAAGUUUGGUCGCCCAUGGGGACCUUACCCCCAUGGAUAGAGCUUGACAAUGGAAGGAUUCUGAUGGAAAAAAAAAAAAGCAGAUAACAGGAGAGACAGUAGGAGAGGUGAGAGCUGUCUCGGGCAUGCACCAAAGGAAGGCCGAGAUGGCACGGCAAGCUGAUGCUUUCAUUGCGCUCCCUGGUACGCAUACCAAGCCCUGCCCUGUGCUUCCUUUAGUUUGCCAUCGUAAUGAUUGGUAUCUGGCAGUCCUCCUUGUGCUUCUGAGGAUGUUAGGUCUCUAGAUCAAAUAGUUCACUCUAAGAAGAAUUGCUUUCAAUGGUUAGUUCCAUCAACCCAUCUUUCCUUUUCAGUGAUCUCCUCGUGGCUGCUCCUUUAUUGGAGUUCAUUAGUGCAACAGAUUCGGCAUCCAUCACACACAGUUUGGGAUUCAUUGCUCAACCAGUGCCUGGUUGGUUGUACCCAACAUGUAUUUGGUUUUUAUGGUGCUAUGAAUACCAAAAUCGGCACAUUAACUAGUUGACUCAUGACUUGGCCAAGAAAGAGUUGAUCACUUGACUGAUAAAUCUGCCAUGAUUCUCCACUCCAUUAUCCAUCAGUUCUUGCCACUGCCAUGGUGUUUGAGGGGCAUAAAGAAUCCCAAUCUGAGUUGCAUCAGCUUCUGAGGUCAUACCAACCAAUCUCCUCUUGCCACAUCAAAAGGAGCUGCAUAGCAUUGCUGGAACAAAACACAAAAAAAAAAUAAAAAGCUGAUGACACUUAGCUUACCUCAAGGAUUGACUUGGGUGAUGAUUAAAUAAUAGCAUAUAUUAGAGUGGUACUGAUUAAGGAGUAAUGACUUGGAAAUGUAACAAAAGGGAAGGAGGUGUAUGUUGUUUAAUGUUACAUAUUAACACAUGAGGCCAUGGCUUAGCAGUUGCACUCCAUUUUGUAAAGAUUUUAGGUUCAAAUUUUUGGAAGAGUGUUUCAUUCAGAUAAUUGUACUAUUUAUUAUUUUGAGAUGAUAUGUGGUGCCCCCACCUUAUUUAAUCUCAAAAGAAGGACAUGACUAAAUGUACUGCUUCUGCUGCACUUUAACUAGAAAACAUUCAAGGCAGCUGCCUAUAUUCCUAUAACAUUCAUGCUAACAAAAUUAUUUUUGUGCGGAUUGGGACUAUAGGUGGGUACGGAACCUUAGAAGAACUCCUUGAGGUGAUCACUUGGGCUCAGCUGGGGAUCCAUGAGAAGCCGGUAUAUCCUUCUCUAUGCAUGGUUUAUGUACCAUAAUUAAGCCUUUGAUUUGCUUUAACCAUCUUUGGCCUAAAAUUUUGUAAUUGAUAUCAGGUGGGUUUGUUGAAUGUCGAUGGGUACUACAACGCCCUACUAUCUUUUAUUGACAAGGCUGUUGACGAAGGAUUCAUCACACCCGCUGCUCGUCACAUUAUUGUCUCUGCACAAACUGCCCUUGAACUAUUAUCGAAACUUGAGGUGUGCAAAUGAGCUCUCUCUCUCUCACACACACAUUUUUAGGGUUCAUUUGGUUCGUGAUUGAAAUCAGAAUGACCAUAUUUUCUAACGUAUUUAGUUUAUGAUUGAAAUAAGAAUGACCAUAUUUUCUAACGUAUUUAGUUUAUGAUUGAAAUUUAAAUAUUAAGGAAGAGUUAAAAUUGAAUUUCAAGAAAUUGGGACAUUUUUAUUCCUUCCUAGAAUCGGAAUGGAAAUAGGAGUUCUUCCUAAACAAAUGGCUGGAAUAUGAGUCGCUCAUUUUUAUUUCCAUUUUUUUUAUUCCAGAGUCCAACUCUCCCCAACGAAAUACGCCCUUAGUCUAUUUAUUGAUAAUUGCAUGCACCAAGUAGUACCUACUUUAUUUUGAUUCCUAACAUAAUAUUGAUUUAUGGUUAAUUUUCAUUAGAAAGGAAACAAAUAAAGAUGUAAACUACAAAUAAAUCCUCUCUAGCAGUUUAAAGUUUGUGAUUGUUAAGCAACCUACGGCAUAGAGCUGAAGAACAUUUUGAUCAAAUAAUCAUGCACUAGAUCGAGAAGCUGAAUGCUACUUUCUUAAAAAGCGUAUAGCCGAAGAUAGAAAAGAAUUUGAUAAUUUAGAUUUUUUAUGAGCAAUAUUAUGGGGAUGCCAUCGCCAAGGUUGAAAUUCUGGACUUUUCCGUUGUAGAGAACAAUUCCACCAAGGACAUACACCUAAAUGGUUUGUUGUUUUCAUAAAACGCAACCCAGUACAUAGUCUCCUAAUGAUCAAAUACUCAGGUAACGAACUAGAGAGACAUUGACAAAAGAGUGCCUUAAUCCUGUGUUAUAUUCGCAUAAUAUUGGGGACCCUACUCUGUCCAAGAUCAGGAUUCGGAACACUGUCAAACUUAUGAUCAGAUUUAAACGAGUAAGAAUAUUUAGAAUAAUAUCAUUUGUGACUCAUUUUUUUGUAUCCUUCUCCUUCUGAUCGAUAAAAAUCGAUGUUGCUUCCAGGAAUAUGUGCCCAGGCAUGAAGGGGUUGCACCCAAGCUCAAGUGGGAGAUGGAGCAAUUAGGCCACUCUCGCAAGCCAGACAUUGCCCGCUAACCAUCCAACUUGUAUACGUAACACCAUCUAUGAUGCAAUCUUUGUUCAAUAUUUUUUUCCCUCUAGUAUAACCACUAAGACACUUAUUAGCAAGCUAUCUGGCUUUUUUUUUUUCUAAGUAAUGACUGAUGGAUGUAUAAUAUCAUCCUCUGUUUGGAUUUUUCUUUCCUCUCAUAGAAAACGUGCAAGAGAUUAAUCUUUCAAUUAGGUCUAAUUGAAAUCAAGUAACCUCGCUUCCACUUCGCUAACCUAUUAACCAUGCUUGUUUAGAUAUAUACUUUUUUAAUUAUAAGAUUAAACUCCCUACCAUGUCUAAGUUGAGGCUCUGGGAGUUACUUCUGGACUCCUAUUUUUGACAUCGUCAAAACUCUCCCAAAUAAAUCAAGCCCCGUUUGGCUAUGUAGGGAGAGAAGAGAAGAGUAAGAGAAGAGCACUCUCCCAAAUUUGAGCAUGCAUUCAUCAAACAACAUUAACAACAAAAAGAAAUCAUUAACCGCUUCGGGGGAUCACACCCGUCCAUCUCUCUUGCUUUGUGACAAACUUGAUUGUUGGAAUAAUCAAAACUGAGCUCUUUUGAGCACAUUUUCUCAUCACCGUCUAUUCAUAUGCGAACAAGCUUAUAAAAGCCAACAUGUUUUAACUUUACAAUGCAAAAAUUGCUCUAUUCGUACAAGAUAAAUGCCUCCCUAGGAAUGCGAGUUGCCAGAAUCCUCACAGCUUUCAAGCCUUCUAAUGCCAAUUCAAAACCUUCGCAUGAACCCCAUUUUAGGUUUGCUUAUUAAGGUAGCAAAUGAAAGUUACAGUCUCUUAGAUAUUGACCUAACAAUGUAGAGGCUGGCAGAUUGAGAUUUUAUUGAAGCAUUCUCCCUACAAGAUGACAUGAAACAGUGUUUCCCUGCAUUUGACCCUAAAACCUCACAUGAAAACCUCGUGCACUGGAGCAAACUUUUAUUCUUCCCAAAAAUAGUCCUUCCCUGGCUGCCCUCAGCCGAGCUGUAGAAACAGAGCGUCACGACAAAAGGUGGCCCAGACACCAGGACAACCACAUUAUGAUCACUUUCUCCUCCAAAGAAAAAAAUAAAAGAAAACUACAUUGGUCGCUGCCAAUAAAAUCUGGACCACCUUUCUCGUUAAAAGUCCUCUUGACAUCACUAGAGAUACCCUUAGCCAAGGGAAGAUGAACACCCUAGAUGAGGAAUGAAACCAUAAUGACUAGUGAAUUGGGGAAUUGCCAUUCAGUAACUUUCAGCUACGAUGGACCUCGUGUCAUGGAGUUUUCAUAUAUGACAGGGAUCAUGCUUUAACAGCUUAACAUCAGAACCAAUGCACUACAUCUUAUACCUACUUCAAUGAAAUUACCUUCUCUUUCAAGAUAAACAUUGGAAAAAUUGUCGUAUUUCCCAAAUAAUGAUGUCCAAUUGGCGUCUAUCACUAGUGAUAUAAGACCACCAUCGAAGAGGAUAAGGAUCACUCGAGUCGCAGUCACGAACAUAGUUUGGCACUGACCUUAUCCAUUCCAAUACAAUGUACUAUUGGGAUUAAAUGGAAGGAGGGAGAGAACUUACCCUCGGAAAAAAGACAGACUUCCUACUGAUGCUUGUUUAUAGCAAUCUUCCAAGAGUCUCCACUGAUCAUUAGAAGUGGAAGGCAUUUUCAGACAUCCUCUUGUAUGUAUGGCAUCACCUCAAACAUUCCAUAGCAGUGGCCUGUCUCAACCUCAACAUCUUGCUACUCUUAUUAUGGAAAAAAAAUAGGUCACUUUAAAUCCUCAGGAAACUGCCACAUACCAGCUCGAGAACUUCCCCGUUAGUACACACGCAAAAGAACAUUGAGAAACUCUGAAUUAUUGUAGUACCUGUUUGUCCAUGCCAACCACAUGCAAGCAAAGAUUAGGCUUCUUUUUGUGCAGAUAGGGCUUCCCCAUAUGCAUCUGCAUUUGACCUGUCGAAAACACACCAGUGGCAUCAGAUCCAAGACCUCCAUCUAAAUGGUGCGUGUCGCUGAAUCAUGUCACAGAUGGGUUAGAGGAGAAAAUGUCAAGAAAUUUAGCAUCUCUCUUCUUGAGUGGUCCUCUGCACCCUAAUCGUCAGGAACAUGCUGCACUUGCUUGUUCUUUGAAAGACCAAAUGCACAUCCAAUUACCAACAGUUUUCGUUCUAUCUUCUCCUUAUUCUGUUUUUCCCAGAUCAGGGACUGUUUCCUUACACUUCAUAAUUUAAACAGGUGAAUGGCCACGUUUCUCCAAUUUUUCUUCUCUCCAUCCAAUAAGCAUUCUGAGUUGCAGAAGCAUACUACCAUUCACCUCAACAAGCUGUGAAGAUUCAACAAGCAAACUGAUUUGAUUGUUAUUAAGAAAGCACUUACAAUACUUUAACACUACCCAUUGGCAUUGUAACAACAUGACCUCACCAAAAAAAAGCUAACUAGAAGAUGUUACUUGGUUCUUUGCCCCUGUAUAAAUGCCCAAGAUCUAUCCAUUGUAUAGUCCUCACAGGCAUGAAAGAGUCGGCACUGAGAGAAAGCAAAGACCUUAUAGGAAUGCAUAGAGAAGGAAUUCAUAAAAACAAGCUGGAUAUUUAGUAUAAAGGCGAUUAGGGAUAUAGUAAAUUUAUCUUUUCCAAUCCAACCUAGAAAAUAAGAACUAUGAUGUGGUGUUCAAUUAAUCCAACAAGACCUCUGGGGAUGACUCAACGCCCCACCAUGAUUUUUGACGAAAGCUUUGUGUGUCCCCAAAAAGUGACUGGUCAACAAGAAAAAGCAGGCAAAACGUGGCCCUGAGAACCAGUCCACCAUAACCGACCUUAUCAUGAGCCCUUUUUCUGUAGAGAUGUGUGUAUAUUCAACAGACAUACAUGAACAUUCCUCACUUCUGCAAAUAAACAAAAAGCUGAGGGGAAUUAAAUAAACAUAAACUCAGAUUCCAUUUAUAAACUGUCACAUCCAAUGAAAUCAUUCCCAUGAUGAAUGUCUGGAGAAAUAUCUCAUGGAAAAGGACCUCAGGGGCCACCCAUUGGUUUUUCCAAGCUCAGUACUGGAGUUCAGUCGCCUAUAUCCUGACAUGAGGUCAGAUGCAUGGAGGGGAAAGCUACCAGGAGAUGUAACAUAACACAAUACAGAAGCUGGAAGGACUGUCACGAACUCUGUGCCUUAAAACAGGCCUUCCCUUCAUAUAUGAUCACGAGGAAGCCACUUAAAUUGAUCUUCAUCCAUGUAGUAGUUGGUGAAAUUAAUCCACAAAUCAGUUUCUUUUUUUCUUUUUUCUUUUUUUGCUGAAGCACAAAUCAGUUUCUUCAACAACUUAUUCUUACAGAAUGCAUUUAAUUGCUAGGCAAACAAUUCCUAAUUCAUUAUCUUGUUCGUAAGCUUAUUCAUUUGCUUUAAUAUGAUUAGUACUGACUAAAGAAGUGAAAGCAAAUAUUCAAAUACAUGGUCCAGUGUNNNNNNNNNNNNNNNNNNNNNNNNNNNNNNNNNNNNNCACCUAAUAGAUGAUUGCUGAUUCAAAAACUUGAGCUAAUGAAAUUCUCACACGGUCCCAACAUUUAAGAAAGAAAAUAAAGUUCUAGAUGUAAUUUAAACUGUAAAACUAUCUUCAUGAAAAAUUAUUAGGAUAAAUAAAAAGAAAAUUUUAGAAUAUGAAAAAUAAACAUAUUCUCAUAAUUUUUCAUCACUAUCUAAUGGAUCAAAAUUCUCAAUAAUCUUAAACUUUGGAUUUUCAGACUCUUAACAUCCUUCUUAGCUCUAGUUUUGAAUUACUCAUGGGUACAAGAAGAUGCAGGACAUAACUUGGGCAUUUUUAGAUGAUAUUCCAUUUACUAACACCAAAUACCCCAUCAACUAUGGAUGGUCGUGUUACAUAACUGAUUUAUUUGCUCAUUUCUGAGUCAAGCUCAUAUUACACUCCUUUUAGACUGAAAUGUGUUCAAUUAGGGUAUAUUCAGAAUAUUCAAGUUCCCGACUUCAUGAAUUAUAUAACGUUUUUAGUCUAUGUUUCAAUUGUUAGUAACUAAUACUAUAUCAAUGAUCGUAUAAAAGCUCAACACAUGCACGAAUACUAAACUAAAAGAUCAAAGAUUUAGUAAGCUUAUAAAGAAAACAGUUAUUGAAGAAAUAUAAUUUCCUUCUAUUAUAAAACAAACUGAGAUAUAUUGCUAAUUAAUUUCUUUGUAAGUAUGUCAUUUAACUAGCGAAUAUUAUAAUUAUAAAUGGCCAUGCAACUACGGUAAAGAUACUUAGGCCUUUGUUCACUUAAUUUAAUUAUCCAUGAAGAUAGGUAUCAUGCUUGUGCCAAAAAUAAGCAAAUGCAUAGGAUAUAUAUCUAGUUGUCAAGAAUAAUUAUGCACCUUUAGUAAAACAGAGAUUAUUUAUGCAUAAUAGAAUAAAGCAUCAUAAUGCUUGUGGUAUGAUAAAAAUACUAAUAUGCAUAUACCAAUAUUCUGACACUACCAGGUACAAUCAGGAAUACAAUAUUAACAGGUAAAGUCGAGAUUAUAACUAAAGCAUGUACAAAUGAAACCUAAAAUGAUUAGCCUAUAAGGAUUGAUACACAAGCAUGUUUAUUGUGUUCAUAUAAUUCCACAAGCCAGUGGGAAAGGAGGAGGGGGAAAACAUAAGCCCAAUGGGUAAAGAGUAGCAUGAUGAGAACAAUAACAUAAAGCACGAUGCAGCAGUUUAAACAUCUUGAAGCAUGUUCACUAAUAUUUGCUUUCAAUGAACCAUUUAGCUCGAACUUUUUAUGACGCUUCUCUCAUCUUCUCCAUAACCUUCCCUUCAGUCUUGAUUUAUAUAAAUUCCAAGAAAAAAAUGUGGUAGCAGAAGCAGCAGAACAUAAUGCUAAUAAUAAUAUCACAUCACUUACCAAGUAUGUCGAAACUAGUUUUAACAAGAUGGCUUACAAUACACUCACAUAGUAAAAGUGUAAACCAUUUAUAAUAUGAACAUUCCAUAUCAAACAUUGUCUCCAGGUUGCCAGCCUCACGCACUAGAAUGCAGUACCAAACACAUUGCAAAAGAACAAUCAAUGAUUGAACUACCAAAAGGACAUAUGUGCAAGAACAAUGAAAAAACAACCACAGCCUAAAACACAGAAAUCUAAAUGACCAAAAUAAUAAGAACAUGAAAACAUAUAAAAAUAAAGCACCAACAAAACUAAAACCAACAUUUGCCGGACCGAUCCAAACCAGGUGGUUCGGCAAGUACCAAACCGAACCAACACCAAAUCGGGACGGUUUGGUUUAUCGAAAUAGUUUGGUUUAUAACAAGGUUCGCUGUCUCGGUAUCAGACUCUGUACCAGUGCCACGCUAGCACAGUGUCAGUACGGUACGGUAUAGAAUUUUUUUUUAGCGUACCGACCCGUACCGAGUACUGAUACCGAACCGGCAUGGUACAGUAUGCCCUGUAUCGCCGGAUUCGGACCGGUACGGCAGACCAUGAUUUAUAAACCUCCCCCUCAAUUCGAUGGUUUGAGAGCUUUCGAGAGGGCUCUUGACCUCUCACUCGCUCGCUCGCUCUCAUCCCCUUCUUCAAUGCCGCAACGCCCACCGAUACCAUCCCUUUAAGUAAGCCACCCCCCUCCUCUCCCCCCCAUCCCUCCCNNNNNNNNNNNNNNNNNNNNNNNNNNNNNNNNNNNNNNNNNNNNNNNNNNNNNNNNNNNNNNNNNNNNNNCCUCCCUUCCUCUCCUUCUCCCUCUCCCCUCUCUCUCCCUCCGUCCUCUCUCUCUUCCUCCCUAUCCAUCCCCAUCGUUCGGUAUGCCCCAGCUCGGUAUGGUACGUCCACAUACCAUAUCAAACCAGUCACCAGCUGCUACAAGCGUCAGUACCAGUUCGAUGAACCUUGACUGAAACACUACAAAACUAACUGAAACCUCAAAAUGCAAGACAACAAUACAUGAUCCUAAGUUGUUUCUUCUUUUCUUUUGAAUUUUAUGGACUCCACAACAGGGUUAGCCAUCUAGAAUUGCCAAUGGGCUCAAGAGGCCUUGAGUCUAUGGCAUUUGGGAAUCUAGAUGCAAGCUCAGAUUUGCCCUGAUGCCUAACCUAGGCUCCAUAUGUGCUGAAGCUUCAAAUAAUUCGAGCCAGGACCAGCGGACGAGGCCUUGGCCUAGGCUCAUAAUCUUGGUAAAAGCUAAAGUGGACCUAUUUGAGUCUAGCCCGACAAACACCUAGACUAGAGACAAGUUCGGACCUAACAUUCUCUCACUCGUUUCAUGUUAGACUUGGCUCAAGCAAGCGCUUCCAACCCUAUGCUAAAACUAGCUUGGCCUAUUGACACCUUCUAUCCCUCCCUUGAAAAUCCUACGCAUACCCACCCUAGGUGAAUGCAGGAUUGAUCCAAAGCCCAUUGGCACACCUCCAUGAGACUUUACCAGCUGGUCAGUUAGCAUUUUCUCUAAUCUUCAUAUGAUGCCACAAUAAAAUGCCCAGCAGCAUUAAACCCUGUUUGGUAUAAUGCAUAUUCCUAGUAUACAGGGCAAUAGUGCCAGCUAACAGUUGUCAUCGACAAGGCAACUAAAAUUAAAAAGUAAAAAUAAUAUAGCGAGAAAAUUACAGAAAUAGCACAAAUAGGCAUUCUUUUUUAAGGAUGUUCAGAGAUAAGAUAAUGAAUCUUUGCGGUUCCUUCCAUAUAAAACCAGCAACAAUUGCAUAGAUGACCAGUAAAUGAACAGUUAGGUUUCAUACAAAGCAUAGUUCGAAAGAAAAACCACAUGAUUUACAGGACACCUUUCAUUGAAAACUUGCACAAAAAGGUUCCACUGUUCUCAUACUAUAUUCGGCACACGGUAUAUCAACAUGGGACACAUCAAUAAAAAUUGAUCUAACUAACAGAAAAUAAAGAUUUCUCUUUUUUUCUUUUUCUUAUUAGGUAUAAUACAGACACAUCACAUAACCCAAGAGCAAACAGAAGACUAUACAAUUCAGAUAGGCUGUUUUCUUCAACAAAUGACAGCAGGUUUUAUGUUAUUCCAAAGGUUUAGAAGUUUAAGAACUACUCAGUAGCCAUCUGAGAUUCAAUUGAAAAGGAAAGGCAAGACAUAAAUACAAGCAUGUCCAUAUAUCCUCGAAAAUGAUUGUCUUGCUUCUCCACCUCCCGUGAAUCUAAGUCAUAAAAAAACUGAUGAUUAGGCAUGAACUUUUUGACUUGAGUCAAAAAGGUUUAUAAACCAAACCUUUCUAUAAGCAUAAUACCUGAACACAUAGCACAUAAAUAAAGGAUGACAACAGGAAUAUAUUUCUAUACGACAAGAUUUAAACUGUAUGAAUGAAUUAAAGGGUAUUAAUUUUGAUAAGAAACGACCUAAUCUGUCAUGCAGAUCUACUCCUACUUUGAGUUUCAAUGCUUCUUGUUUCAUGUAUUAGAUGCAGGUUGAGUAACUGUAAGCCCCUUAUGUGGAAUUGCUAGUACUGGAAUAAUCUUACUUACAAAGGAAAAAGCCAAUGCCCAAUUUAAUGCAAGGAACUUUACCAUUAUAAGGCAGCCUUUGGUUUGAAAAAUGGAUUGUAAAUGAUGAACUAUAUGCUAGAAUUAUUCAAUGCCAUGAACUUGCACUGUUCAUUCAUGGCCAGCAAUUGUGCCUCCUUCUUGUCCAACAAAGCUCUCAGACUAACAUUCUCCUCCAUGAGCUUCUGAACUUCAGCCUCUUUCUGCAUCUUCUCAUUCUCCAGAUGAGUGGUCUUGGCAAUUAGCCUGUUCCAUGCAACAAUUUGAAUCUGUCAUAAAAUUAUCCUGUGCAUACCAACUUCCAGAUAAAUUUAUUUUUCACAAAAUUAAAAAAUAAAUAUGGACAAAUGUAGUUAAUAUAUGCCUUUUUGACAUUUAUUUAUAGCCUAUGGAUGAAUAGGUGCUCGGGAACACACACAAUUAGAAAAACAACAGUUAUGCAAAUUAGUGUAAUUGUAACGUUAAUUUUGCAUUACAACUCAGACAGCAAGGACAGAUAUCCAUGCAUUAUAGGGCAGAUCCUUUCUAGGCUCUUGCCUUCAAAAGUUUUAUGUUCAUGGAUGAUGCACAUAAGUUCAAAAUUUUGGUUGUGGAGCAAAUUUUUGUAAGUAAUCAAGAUGGAUCAAAUUUAGGUUGUCAUGUUGGGUUCUGUUAUGCUGGAUUCCAGCUAAAAUUUAACUCUUAUGUCUCUAAAUGUUUAAAAUAGUAACUCUGGGUCAAGUAGUAUACAACAAAAGUAACCUGUCAAAAAGUUUCUCAAUUGUCUGAAAUUGCUUCUCUGAUGAAAGAAGGGUUUCUCUAACACUGAUGAGACUGCUAACAUAGGAUCUCAGUGACUCAAAAUCCUGCUUCAAACGACAAAGCUCCUGUUCAUUUUCUGCAGCCCGUUGUCUUUGUCUAGAUGUUUCUUGCACCAUAUCUUCAACCUUCUGCCGCAUUUCAUUCAAAACACUAUUUGUACUCACUGCAAACUUCUCCAUCUCUUCAACUUUUGCCGACAGGCUCUCAAUUUGGAGUGUUUUCUUUUUAAUUUCUUCCAAACCAAACUUCACUUGUUCUUUUUCAGUAGCAGCUUCAUUUUCUGCCAUUAUAACCCUCUUAACAAGAGAUUCCAUAACAUCCGUUACAACAUGAACUAACUUCAAUAUGUUGCCAAUAUAGGCUCUGUCAUUAGCAUCAACAGAUCCGAGGUCAAUGGUACCUGCCAAAUGCAUCUCCUCGUCUGAACUUUCAAAAGAAGAAAUAUCAAUAUCCUUAGACCAACCAGAUAAUGGUAUGCCAUGCUUGUCAAUAAACCCUACCCCCUCUUGAUGUUUAAUCCCACAUGAAGCAUAGGCUAAAUGAGGAACAGAAAUAAUUUUCGCCUUUGAUUUCAAGUAGGUCAGCAAUGUUGUGGUAGUUUUGACUCUGCGCCAAAGAAAUUCUAACUCUUUGUUCACUUCAUCCUCAGAACAUUGGAUGUUAGCCUUAACCUCCAAAAGUUUUUCUUGUAAAGUUUCAACUUGAGAUUGAUGCCUCUCCAACUCCUGCUUCCAAGUGAUGUUUGUCUCAUUGAGCUGACUCUUCAGGGUCAACAACUCCCUAUCCUCAACUUCAUUCUCCAUAGCCUCUUUCUAUGUUGUGGCACAGGUACAGUCUGAACAAGAGAUAAUGAUCAAUUAAGAUAAUAAAAUAAUCAAAGAGAGAAAGGAAUGGCUGAAUAUACAUUCUAUUAAUUAAACUUUACUAAUACCCAUUUAAUAAAUGAUCUUUAUUGACAUUAACAGAGAGAAAAAAUGCACAGAAACCAAGUACUAGAGUCAGACGUACAGCAUAGAAAUUCUAGUCAUGAAGACAAGGAGCCUAAUGGGCAGGUCAAAAGCUUUCUUUAGUAUGUAAAAGAAAGAAGAAAGACUCAAGUCAAAAUGUUUGUAUCUAAUCAUCAGUUGUUUUAUGAAUUACGUUCACUAGACAAUUUGAGGACUAUGAAUAAUGUCAAUAAUUCCCACUAAAACUCCAGUGAAAAUUGUUGAAUUACAUCCAAAGUUAGCACAAGCUUCACCCUUAUUGAUCAUGCAACAAUUUAGAUACACACUCAAACCUAAUGUCAAUGUACAUGUUUGUAUGAAGAACAAAAGAUAGAUCAAUAGACAGCACCUAAGCAUGUAUUUGAGUGGAAAAGAAAAGGCUUUCGUACCAGCUCAUUAAAAAACAGCAUAAAGGGGGAAAAAAGAAAGAUAAAAUCAAGGGGCAUUAAGACCUUCUACUCAACACUCUUAUUUCAAUAAAAGAAUUUCUCAUUAAGACAUAACUAAGCAAGAAAACCAUAGAACCAGAGAGAAUAUGAAUUAGAAUUACCAAAUGAAAACAAAAACUCCAUAUAUAAUCAAUUAAGAACGAUGAAAGAUGACAAUUUGGGAACUCCUAAACAUCGAAUGAAAACCUAUAAACCCUAAUCAGUCCAGAUAGCUCCGCAUUACCCCAUUCCAAAAUCUAAAGAGCUAUAAACUAUUUCCUUACAGAGAAACCCUUGAAUUCAUAAAACACUAGCCCUAGUUUUAUGACGAUUUCCAACAUUGAACAAGAAAACGAUCGAUUGGAAGGGGAAAAGGAUGAAAACAAGCCUGGGGAUUCGGAAAUUGGUACCUUGGGAUUGCAGGAAGACGGAGGCGUCGGUCUGCCGUCGCCUUCUCCCUUCCGCAGCUCCGCUUCUCUUUUAUUUUAUUCUUUUGGUUUGGUGAGCUGAGUGGGCAUGGGAUGUGACCAUUUUACCCCCAGUAAUGAACUAAACAUGACAUCAGAAUAUUAAAUAACAUAUUUUUUAUAAAAUAACAUAUUGUUUAUUUAAAGAUAUGCAAACGAAAUAUUUUCAAGAUAUGUUAUUUAAAAUAUUUUAGGGUUUUAUUUUAUUUUAUUUUAUUUUUUUCCAGCAGUGUCCCACAGCAUAUGCACAUGAACACAUCCGUGAGAGCCAACAUGAAGAAUGCGACAAAAAAAAAAAAAGUAGAAGAGGCUUAAUAUUUUUUCAAAAAAAAUAUCCAAAUAGUAUAUAAUAAAAAAAGAUAAUCCAGCUUGCUGUACUAUUUGUUUUUCGAAAUGUUUGCAUGGAACAAGACAAACCCAUCCAUAAGACGAUAUGUUAACUGAAAUAUAUUAAAAAAUUAUUACUCAGCUGGUGUCCCUUGAGUAAUAUAAAUAUUAUUGGAGAAUUCAAUUUAACUAAAAUAUUUCUCAUUAAAUAAAGAAUUUUAAUUUUGCUAAGAUGAGAAAAACGUAGUGCCACUCGUCACCGGCAUAUUGGGGAAGUUGGGGAUUAGCGUCGUAAAGUAGGAAAUAUGGUGUCACGGGGGGGCUCUGGUAUUAUUCUGCUAAUCCCCAGCGAGUGCCGUAAACUUGAUCUCACUAAUGACCGAAUGGGUGACUUUCAGCACGUAAAGCUUGGUAUCAUAAAAAUCACAAACCAAAGCAAUAUAAAAAAUAAAAAAUAAAAAUUACAUGAGCAUGUUUGGCAUCUUCUUUAAUUUCUUAUUUUAAUUUUUUAAAAAUAAAAUUAUAAAAAUCAAAAUAAAAAUAUGUUUGAUAUUAUUAUUAUUAUUAUUAUUAUUAUUAUUAUUAUUAUUUAAAAUUUAUUUUUAUUAUUUAUAAAAAUAAAAUAAAAAUUUUAUUUUUAUUACUUUCACCAAUGUCACUGUAAUUGUCUCCACCAUCAUCGCAAUCGUCUUUACUGCUAAAGCUGCCACUACCAUCGCAAUCAUCUCCAUCAUUACAAUCAUUAUUGUCAUCGCAGUCAUUUCUAUCACCACCAUUAUUGUCGGUACCAUCUCUAUUAUUGUUACUGUCGUCGAUUUAUCGUCGCCAGCAGCACCACUAGAACCACUACAUUUUUAUCCCAGUGCCCCCGCCAUAUUGUCUUUGUUAUUAUAGUCUCUACCAUGUUGCCACUGCAAUUACUAUUCUUGUUCCAAUCACCUUAUCAUUAAUGCAUCCACAACCAUUGUUGCCUCCCCCACCACUAUGAUAACUACAAUCUUACCUACCUUUGCCAUUACCUCAGCCACCAUUAUUGUAUUUAUAUUGUAAAAAUAAUUAACUAUACCAAAUACAUCUAUAUUUAAAAAUCUAGAAUAAAAUAAAAAAUAAUAUUUUGUUUUUUUAAAAAAGAAAAACAAAGUAAUAUCGAAGGACACCUGAGCUGCAACUUUUCUAUUUUUGCAUUUAUGAGUUGUAGAACAUUUUUAUGUUACUAAAUUAAUUAUUCUUACAUAAAAUAUUUGACCUAUAAUUCUUUUUUAACAAGCCCUCGUGCUAUGCUGCGCCUUGAAUUGUUUGUUUGGAUUUCAACAAAAGCUUCCCUCGUGCUAUGCUGCGAUUAGAAUUGUUUAUUGAUGCAAUUCUUAAUUAUUACAAUCGACAGGCAAUAUAAGUUAUAUAAUACUUGAGUCUAUCUGAGAUUAAGGUUUAAUUAAGUUGAGUUAAUACUCGUGUCUCAUACAUAGCCUACCGAGCAAAACCUAUUUCUUUUUUAUCCGAUUUAGCAACUCUUGCAAUAAUACAAAAAGGUUAUACAAAAACAUGAGCUAAACCUACCUUUCUUACAUAACUUCCAAUUUAGUAGUGAAGCAGGAGAACGAGAUGCCACAUGAGCUUCCCUCCUCCUCUCUUCUCCCUCUCUUAUUUUCCCUUUGCUUUUCGAUUUUGUUGCUAUCCUUGGAGUUUUUAUAUUUUACAGAAGCACAAGAAGAACAUAAACCCCCAACAUAACAUGGGAGCUUAUCUAAGCCUUAUCCCAAAUUCCUUUUGUUUUCUCCUUCAAGUGGAGAUUCCAUUUUUAAAGUGAACCAUGGGCUAGCCUACAGUGAGUACCUUUCUUUCUCCUUUUUUUUUUUUCUUUUCAGGCUAAAACGGGCAUUUCAUACAUCACGAGUACGAAUAUACCCAAUAGAAUCGGAAAACAAAAGAUUCCGAAGUGCUUCGGACAUCUCUCCCUCUCCAGCUCAUAGGGUACCUCCUAAGUGACUCGCUAUAUAUGCCGCCAUCCAGUCGGCCGCCCCAUUAGCUUCACGAUAUACAUGUAUAACCUACAGUGAAUACCUUUGUAGACCAUGCUAUACCUCAAAAGGCAUGCAGAUGAAGCUGGAGUUUGGCAAUUUUGGCUACGGCCUGCCGGAUAAUACUUUGUAAAACUAACAGAUAUGCAGCAUAAUCCUCAUAAUCACAGCCAUGAUACAUCUUCAGUUAAGAACUCAUAUCCUUCUAGCAUAUAUUUGUUGAAAUCAGCCAAGAGAAGAUGCACGAUUUUGUAACUUAAGAAAACAAACAAAACUAGGCACAUUGGUUUCCAACCAAAAUAAGCACAUCAGUCCAUUUUUAUUCAGCACUAGAGAAAAACCUGCUUCUCAUCCGAUGGUUUUCUUCCCGUCAGGUUGGUGUCGAGACCAAUCAUCAAUAGGUUCUAAGACCAAUUAGUAAGCAUGCCAGUGAACAAAAGAAAGGAAGAUUUGCUCUGCUGCAGCGAAAAGAGAGGAAGUUUCAGGCACCAUAGAUCAGUAACUAUGUGAAACGCUCUGUUUUCAUCUAUACUACCCAACACCUCCAGAGUGCACAGCAACUUCUUUCUGAGUUUUACAUCUGCAUGAGAAAAAUAUUUAGCAUCACCAAUCCACCAGUUGAAUAAUUGGACUCAGAAUAUUGGACUAGCACAAUGAAAUCGAAGGGCAAUGGUAAGCAAUCAGGAUCAAUUAUCAGUUAAUAUCUAAUUGAUAAUAUCAGGGUGGUAACAGAUGGUGAAUAAGGCAAUUGAAGACUGAAAAGAUGUCUCAAAUCUAGACACUAUGAACUAGCAUGCAAUGAUUGCUUAAUUGUGGAUGCUACAUAAACAAAAAACAGAAAAAAGAAUACUUAUGAAUUACAAGCUUGAUAAUUCAUGCCCAAAGAGCUGUCUAAAAAUUCUGUAACAAAAAAAAGAAGAAAACCUCUAAUCAAACUUCAUGGAAUGAAAACUAAAUCACAGAUGUACAGCUUUUCGGUGGAUGUGUUAUUGUAUUUUCUGUUGCAUAUUUGAUGCUAAACUAGAUAUCUCACGUCAUACCUGCUAUUGCCAGGCACAUGCAUUGCACAUGAACGAUAAGAUAGGACAUAUUUGAACUAUCUAAAUUUGAAUUAGAAUUCUGGGAAGGAUGAUAAAGUCUGAACUUGUUGCAUGCCAAAUAGAUGAUGACAAAUAGGCUAAAAGAUAAAAGUAAUGAAUAUCCAACAAAUGAGCUGAACAGAUCAUGCAUAUGGACAAAUUACAUAAUUACUGUCAGCGAUAUGUGAUGAUUGCUGAAGAAAUGGCUCUAAAGGAUGGUAUAUUAUAAAAAUUUAAAAGGUUAUUUUAAUUUUUUUAUGGCAGAAGCAAUUAGAUUAC